Molecule: long non-coding RNA, 622 nt
Organism: Harmonia axyridis
Lineage: Eukaryota; Metazoa; Arthropoda; Insecta; Coleoptera; Coccinellidae
Exons: 2
Source: RefSeq, a predicted model, not a curated record
UUGGAAAAUUGCAGAUAAUAUCAUAAUUUUGCUGAUUAUUUUGGAUAUUUAUAUCACGUUUUGGAAUCAAGCAGAAUUUCCGUCUUGUACGGGAUAAAAAUUCUACAUACUCUGAUAGAAAUUUCUAUAAAAGCCGCCCUCCAUCUUAGGCUUUCAAUUCUUUCAAUUCUUCUGAAUAUUUUACUGAUUCGAUAGAUAAGUGGAUCAACCUGAAUUAUUGGCGUGUUGGUUGAUGCAAAGACAUCCCUUGGACAUAGGCACCCCCAUUGCCUUAUACUGAGGGUUGGAAUAACUUCUAACCGGUUGGGAGCGAACCGAAUUCAACAUUUCCAUCAACUGGACUUCUCCCUCUGGAUGAGUACAACCCUUUUAUUUUCAUUAGAGAAAGUUACCAAAAUUAAUCAUUUAUUUUGAAUAUAUUGAAUAACCAUAUUGGACCAUAUAUAGACUCUGAAAUUUAACUAAAAUCCUACAGUUUAUUAUUUUAUUGUGAAUACCAUUAUCUGAAUACCAUUAUCUGUGAAAUUCUCUGUAAAUGAAAGCCGGCAUUCAUUCUUCUAAAUUAUUGUUCAUACUUAAGUGCACUCAAUUCAAAUUCAUUAAUUACAUUUCAUAUCAUAAA